UGAGUACGAGCUGCUACGGCAGCGAAGUGGGUGAUGUCAAGCUUCCAAGAAAAGCCCUAUACCCGUUAAGGCAUGAUGGCCUGUACCCGAAACCGACACAGGUAGGGUGGUAGAGAAUACCGAGGGGCGCGAGGUAACUCUCUCUAAGGAACUCGGCAAAAUGGCCCCGUAACUUCGGGAUAAGGGGUGCCACCGCAAGGUGGUCGCAGUGAUAGGCCCAGGCGACUGUUUACCAAAAACACAGGUCUCCGCUAAGUCGCAAGACGAUGUAUGGGGGCUGACGCCUGCCCAGUGCCGGAAGGUUAAGGAAGCUGGUCAGCGUAAGCGAAGCUGGCGACUGAAGCCCCGGUGAACGGCGGCCGUAACGAUAACGGUCCUAAGGUAGCGAAAUUCCUUGUUGGGUAAGUUCCGACCCGCACGAAAGGCGUAACGAUCUGGGCGCUGUCUCGGAGAGAGGCUCGGCGAAAUAGAAUUGUCUGUGAAGAUGCGGACUACGUGCACCCGGACAGAAAGACCCUAUGAAGCUUUACUGUAGCUUGGUAUUGUGCCCGGGCUCGCAAUGCGCAGGAUAGGUGGGAGGCUUUGAUCAUCGGCUUGCGGGUCGAUGUGAGCCAACGGUGAGAUACCACUCUUUGCGAGCUAGGGUUCUAACGGUCACCCGUUAUCCGGGGACCGGACAGUAUCAGGUGGGCAGUUUGACUGGGGCGGUCGCCUCCUAAAAGGUAACGGAGGCGCGCAAAGGUUUGCUCAGGCUGGUUGGAAAUCAGCCGACGAGUGUAAAAGCAGAAGCAAGCUUGACUGUGAGACCUACAAGUCGAACAGGGACGAAAGUCGGCUUUAGUGAUCCGACGGUUCUGAGUGGAAGGGCCGUCGCUCAACGGAUAAAAGUUACUCUAGGGAUGACAGGCUGAUCUCCCCCAAGAGUUCACAUCGACGGGGAGGUUUGGCACCUCGAUGUCGGCUCAUCGCAACCUGGGGCUGAAGUCGGUCCCAAGGGUUGGGCUGUUCGCCCAUUAAAGCGGUACGCGAGCUGGGUUCAGAACGUCGUGAGACAGUUCGGUCCAUAUCCGGUGCACGCGCAGGAACAUUGAGAAGAUUUCUCCCUAGUACGAGAGGACCGGGAGGAACGCACCUCUGGUGUACCAGUUAUCGUGCCAACGGUAAACGCUGGGUAGCCAUGUGCGGAGUGGAUAACCGCUGAAAGCAUCUAAGUGGGAAGCCCACCUCAAGAUGAGUGUUCCCAUGGCGUUAGCCAGUAAGGUCACGGGAAGAACACCCGUUGAUAGGCUCUACGUGGAAGCGCAGUAAUGCGUGAAGCGGAGGAGUACUAAUAGACCGAGGGCUUGACC
Molecule: ribosomal RNA, 1349 nt
Filed under: metagenome
Description: bacterial LSU rRNA
Rfam family: Bacterial large subunit ribosomal RNA
Source: RNAcentral